AUCAGGUCAAGAAAACAGCCCGGAGACGUGGAGGAGGAAGAAGUUUUACAAAGAACUGCGCGACUGUAUUCGACACCACCAGGAUGUCAUACAGUUGGUUGCAGACGUGGAAGAACUCCUUACAUCUAUGAUUCUGACUCAAGUUAUGGGCGCCACUCUUAUUAUCUGUGUGACGUUAUUUCAGUUCGCCACAAAUAUCGAUAACAUCGGAACAGUUCUACGGGUGUCUGUGUACAUGUCGUUCAUGAUAUACGAAGUGUUCAUGUAUUGCUGGUACGCGCACAAUAUCAUCGAUCAG
This is a long non-coding RNA of Schistocerca nitens (vagrant locust), 298 nucleotides long. RefSeq lists it as uncharacterized. The transcript is spliced from 3 exons. The record is from RefSeq and is a predicted model, not a curated record. NCBI's taxonomy places the organism in Eukaryota, Metazoa, Arthropoda, Insecta, Orthoptera, Acrididae.